UGGGGAAUCUUGCGCAAUGGGCGAAAGCCUGACGCAGCGACGCCGCGUGAGCGAGGAAGGCCUUCGGGUCGUAAAGCUCGAUAGUGUGGGAAGAAGGGAUGACGGUACCACACGAAAGCCCCGGCUAACUACGUGCCAGCAGCCGCGGUAAGACGUAGGGGGCGAGCGUUGUCCGGAAUUACUGGGCGUAAAGGGCGCGUAGGCGGCCGUUCAAGUCAGGUGUAAAAUACCCGGGCUCAACCCGGGGAUAGCACUUGAAACUGGGCGGCUAGAGGGCAGGAGAGGGGAGUGGAAUUCCCGGUGUAGCGGUGAAAUGCGUAGAUAUCGGGAGGAAUACCAGUGGCGAAGGCGACUCUCUGGACUGACCCUGACGCUGAGGCGCGAAAGCGUGGGGAGCAAACA
This 402-nucleotide ribosomal RNA is filed under the name Thermoanaerobacter sp. enrichment culture. RNAcentral's name for it is "bacterial SSU rRNA". It matches the Rfam family "Bacterial small subunit ribosomal RNA", at positions 355 to 774 of the family's 1533-position model. Lineage: Bacteria; Bacillati; Bacillota; Clostridia; Thermoanaerobacterales; Thermoanaerobacteraceae. The record is from RNAcentral.